This 478-nucleotide ribosomal RNA is filed under the name uncultured bacterium. RNAcentral describes it as "partial 16S ribosomal RNA". It matches the Rfam family "Bacterial small subunit ribosomal RNA", at positions 28 to 523 of the family's 1533-position model. The record is from RNAcentral.
GACGAACGCUGGCGGCGUGCUUAACACAUGCAAGUCGAACGGUAAGGCCCUUCGGGGUACACGAGUGGCGAACGGGUGAGUAACACGUGGGUGAUCUGCCCUGCACUUCGGGAUAAGCCUGGGAAACUGGGUCUAAUAACGGAUAGGACUCCUGGCUUCAUGGUUGGGGGUGGAAAGCUUUUGCGGUGGGGGAUGGGCCCGGGGCCUAUCAGCUUGUUGGUGGGGGAAUGGCUUACCAAGGCGGCGACGGGUAGCCGGCCUGAGAGGGUGACCGGUCGCGAUGGGACUGAGAGACGGGCUAGACUCCUACGGGAGGCAGCAGUGGGGAAUAUUGCACAAUGGGCGCAAGCCUGAUGCAGCGACGCCGCGUGAGGGAUGACGGCCUUCGGGUUGUAAACCUCUUUCAGCUAUGGCGAAGCGCAAGUGACGGUAGUAGCAGAAGAAGGACCGGCCAACUACGUGCCAGCAGCCGCAGUAA